GUCUAUGGCCAUGCCACCCUACAAGCCCAAUCCCAUCUGAUCUUGGAAGCUAAGCAGGGUUGGACCUGGUUAGUACUUGGAUGAGAGACCACCUAGGAAGACUAGGUGCUGUAGGCA
RNAcentral lists this ribosomal RNA (117 nucleotides) under Pteropus alecto (black flying fox). The record is from RNAcentral. Lineage: Eukaryota; Metazoa; Chordata; Mammalia; Chiroptera; Pteropodidae. RNAcentral also lists the same sequence under 1 other name.